Molecule: small RNA, 2894 nt
Filed under: Rattus norvegicus (Norway rat)
Lineage: Eukaryota; Metazoa; Chordata; Mammalia; Rodentia; Muridae
Description: uncharacterized LOC108349685
Source: RNAcentral
AAGCAGGGUUUACCUCUAGCUGCCCCAACUGCUUGCUGAAGCCGCCCCUGGCUGGAUGAGAACGGACUUCUGCCGGACGCUAGACAAACGCUCACAUUAGGACGUUGUUAUCGGGGCCCAGGAAGGCUGAAAUGCUAGUCCAAGGCUGGGCAGUGGGCAUUUGUCAGAAGCAUCUGAUUAGCAUCUGGAGAAGACAGAAGCCGUCCCAUCAGCUGGGCUGGUUAACAUCAGCAAGUCCAGAGCUCGGUCCACAGGUGAGCCCUGGAUGGAGUCUGCCAGCCAGACCAAGGACACCAUGGGAAAAGAAAUUCCAAGCAAAGGAAAACAGAAAAUUUGGGCCAGCGGAGAGUAAGCCCUGUAAAAAUGGGACAGGGUAAUGGCAGAAUGCUUCUUGUUCAUAUGCUUAGAGAUAUGCUAAAAUCUAGAGGAGCGAAGAUAAGUCAAAAACAGUUCUAUGAUUUUUAUAGAAGAAAUUUGUCCCUGGUUCCCCGAGAAAGGUAGGAUAAACUUACAGACAUGGGGGAAGGUGAGGGAGAGGGUAAAGGGUACUACCCAUUCAACUCACGGUCCUCAAAAUAUUCCCAUGGAUGCCUGGCCUUUGGACUCUAGAGAUACUUUAGAUCCCAGACAUGAAAGUAUAAAAUUAGGAAAGAAAUUGGAAGGCACAUAUAGUGAAAGCCAGAGAAAAGACGAAACUGUUCCGUCUGCACCUCUUAUUUAUGAAGUUUCAGACAAGACAGGGACAAUGAUGAGCCCCUUGAUCCCGGAGGCAAAAUUGAAUUGGAGGAUGUCUUAGUCAGGGCUUCCAUUCCUGGAUCUCCUUGGACAAGGGGGUCAUCUUACAGUAAGACCAUUUCCAGUGCAUUCGGUGAUGGGAUUCUUGUUUGCUUUGUGAAUAGUACGGAUGAUGGGUGUGUUUCUUGUUCACUCCGAUUUGGAAGAAAAACGUUUUACAAACUGUAACUCAAAGCACGGAGACGGGAAUGUCUGGACAUUAUGAGGAAUUUGCCCCUGAUCCUCAUGAGAUACAACCUCGUGAAUCUGGACCCACGGAGAAUGUGGAUCGGGCAUUUAACAACACUGUUAGAUGGAAAGAAUGUUCAAAUCAACCCCCAAUGCGGUUUAAUGAUUCCCAUAAUAUGUGGAUUAUUGAUUGGGCUGGGGAUCAGUCAACCACUGGACAGAAGGAGAUGCCUACAGGUCUUUGGCUCUCAGAUUAAGCUCAUUUCCAAUGGCAUGUUUGGAAGGUAGCUAAAGCUCUCUAUGAAGUUACAUUAGAAACAGAUAAAAUUGGGACAGGAUCUAGAUUUCGAACAAGUGUUAGUGCAUGUAUUAAGGCUCCUAUUCUUUUAUUAAUUGGUCAGGUUAGAAUUACUUUUGUUUCUUCUAUGGUAUUUAAUGUAAGUUGUGUUCACUGCACACUUUCCAAUUGUGCUAGCAGGUUGGAAUCUGGUGUGUCUGUUAUGGUGCUCUGUCAACUAGCUUUUGUUUUAUUGCCCAUGAGCAUAACAGGACCUUGGUAUUCUGAAAAAAGUUUACAAAUAUUGGAAGAAGUGAGUCAGGCUUUAAGGAGAAGCAAGAGGGCAGUGGGCUUGAUCAUUGCUGGGAUAGCAGCUUUGGUUACAUUAAUAGCUAGCGCCACUGCUUCUGCAGUCGCUUUGAUGCAAGAAGUUAAGACGGCCACUUUUGUUAAUUAUUUAGCAAAAAAUGUUACUAAUGCUCUGUGUAUUCAAAAGGGUUUGGACAGGCGCUCGGAGAGAUGGACCGAUGCUCUUUAUGCUACAAUUCAAGUUAUAGGAGAGGAGAUUCAGAGUUUCAGAGUAAGAAGUCAUCUGCAGUGCCACACUAAAUAUCAAUGGAAUUGUGUCACUUCUAAAAUUCACAAUGACAGUCACUAUAAUUUGGAGAAAAUUCAAGGACACAGGGUAUUUGGCAGAGUUCUAACACCUCCCUGGACAUUUUAGCUUUGAAUACUGAGACUGAAUUUAAGGGAUGCUGCUCCUCUGAGUUUUGACGCUGUGGAUACUGCUGAUAAAAUUUUAAGGUCAGUAUUUCCAUCUUGGCCAAACCUCAAGGAUGGCUUAUAUAGUUUGAUCAUGUUGGCCCUUCUUGUCCUGGAAAUUCUUUUAUUCCUGCCCAUUUUGAUAAAACUUGCCUUUAACAACAUCAACAUUUUAGUGGCCAAAAUACAUGGCUUGAAACUUAAAAAUGUAUCCAGACAAAGCCGCUGGUUAAACAGGCUGGCAGUUAAUGACAGGUAAGAUUCUACACAGAGCCUUCCUAACAAGACAUAAAUGCGUUGCCUUGGAGAAUGCAUUUUCCCAUGUGGUUGCUGGGAUUUGCACUCAGGACCUCUGGAAGAGCAGUCAGUGCUCUUAACUACUGAGCCAUCUCUCCAGCCCCAGGAUAAUGCAUUUUCAACAACAGGUAAGGAAGGCAUUCUUGACAGAACAACCUAAGACAGAUGCAGUCUUGUUUAUGAAAUAAAAAAGAGGGAGAUGUGGAAAGCUUUUGGUUCCACUUCUAUGAAAUUGGCAAGAAUAUCUGACAUGGGCUAGAACCAGGAAGUAAUACAGCCGAGUUCCACUUCUAUGAAAUUGGCAAGAAUAUCUGACAUGGGCUAGAACCAGGAAGUAAUACAGCCGAGAAAUUCGUUCCUUAUAUCCUGAUUACGUAGUCACUAGAAACAGAGACCUCGGGACCUUUUUUUAAUGCCUUGCUUGUUCCUUGACUACUUUAUUUAUGCCUUCAAACUGGCCAUAUUCUAUGCAUGUACCUAGAAUAAUAUAAAAGUGGAUUGGAAAAAGUUAAACCCACUUCGGCACUUGUUGGGAUCAUACUAUAAUGUUGUCUACUUUCUUUUUUUUCUUUAAUCCUUGCUCCCUCCCAGUUGA